GCAUGAUAAUAGCAAACUUACCGAAAAGUAAGGACGCAAAGCCAUGGAUCUAAGGGGUAUUUUUUUAUUCUAUGAUUGCCAGGUUGCCAAA
This 91-nucleotide non-coding RNA is filed under the name Geosporobacter ferrireducens. Its description in RNAcentral is "c-di-GMP sequence". It matches the Rfam family "c-di-GMP-I riboswitch aptamer". Rfam says of the family: GEMM was predicted in a large-scale screen for bacterial structured RNA regulatory elements. The record is from Rfam by way of RNAcentral. Lineage: Bacteria; Bacillati; Bacillota; Clostridia; Peptostreptococcales; Thermotaleaceae.